This 406-nucleotide ribosomal RNA is filed under the name uncultured bacterium. RNAcentral describes it as "partial 16S ribosomal RNA". It matches the Rfam family "Bacterial small subunit ribosomal RNA", at positions 30 to 526 of the family's 1533-position model. The record is from RNAcentral.
AUUGCACGCUGGCGGCAGGCCUAACACAUGCAAGUCGAACGAGUGGCGGACGGGUGAGUAAUGUCUGGGAAACUGCCUGAUGGAGGGGGAUAACUACUGGAAACGGUAGCUAAUACCGCAUACCAUCAGAUGUGCCCAUAUGGGAUUGGCUAGUUGGUGGGGUAACGGCUCACCAGGGCGACGAUCCCUCGCUGGUCUGAGAGGAUGACCAGCCACACUGGAAUUGAGACACGGUCCAGACUCGUACGGGAGGCAUCAGGGGGUAAUAUUGCACAAUGGGCGCAAGCCUGAUGCAGCCAUGCCGCGGGUAUGAAGAGGGCCUUCGGGUUGUAAAGUACUUUCAGCGGGGGGGCGUUACCCGCAGAAGAGGCACCGGCUAACUCCGUGCAAGCCGCCGCGGUAAUUC